RNAcentral lists this ribosomal RNA (253 nucleotides) under uncultured bacterium. RNAcentral describes it as "partial 16S ribosomal RNA". It matches the Rfam family "Bacterial small subunit ribosomal RNA", at positions 524 to 776 of the family's 1533-position model. The record is from RNAcentral.
UACGUAGGGAGCAAGCGUUGUCCGGAAUCAUUGGGCGUAAAGCGCGCGUAGGUGGCCUCGUAAGUCCGCUGUGAAAGUCCAAGGCUCAACCUUGGAAAGCCGGUGGAUACUGUGAGGCUAGAGUACGGAAGAGGCGAGUGGAAUUCCUGGUGUAGCGGUGGAAUGCGCAGAUAUCAGGAGGAACACCAAUAGCGAAGGCAGCUCGCUGGGACGUUACUGACACUGAGGCGCGAAAGCGUGGGGAGCGAACAGG